Molecule: long non-coding RNA, 2401 nt
Organism: Monodelphis domestica (gray short-tailed opossum)
Lineage: Eukaryota; Metazoa; Chordata; Mammalia; Didelphimorphia; Didelphidae
Source: RefSeq, a predicted model, not a curated record
CAGAGGAGGGAGGGGGGAGUCUCGCCGCCAUUUGGAACCUAUAAAGUAUCUGGUUUUGCACAUUCGCGCCCAGAAUGUGCAUUGCAUUUGCCUUUAGGGCAUCUGCCUUUCUCUUAAGGCAAAGAAUAAACCACUUACUGUCUCUUUUACUCUUUUCUUCCUGCCUCCAGGUUUAGUUUAUUUAAGUGAGUGGGGCUCCGCGGUUUCAUCUCAUUCACUCAUUUUACAGAAAAAGAAACUGAGGCUGGGAGGGCAGGAUUGGCUCUAGCUACUGCGCCUCCCAGCCCGGGCUCCCAGCUUCCCACUUGACUCCCGGAUGAAGAUUUGGGGCUUCGACUACUGGGAGAGUCAGCCUCUCGCCCUUCCUGGCCAAGGACCUUGGGCAGCGCCAGAGCCAAGUUGCCCCUGCCAGUGUUCCACAAGCAGGAUCUGAACAAACACUUAUUUCCUCAUCAUGGAGAAUCCCAGAGUUGUCAAUUCUUUGGACGUGACCCUCAUCCUACAACAUUUUAGGGGCCCAUCCAGGGAGUUCAUCUUUAGCUCUAGUUCUCCCUAUUUUGAGGACAAUCUCCUUCAAUCCCAAGGACUCCUGACUGGGUUGUCUGCUUUUAAACUGAAAACCAUUGGACCUACAGGACCUAAAAAGAAGUGGCUUGUCUUUUACUACAAUAACGAAUGGCUACAUCAUCCUCUAGAAUUUGGAGAAUGGACAGUCAGCCCUAGUUGUCCACAGGAAACUGUCAGGUAGACACAGGACCUCAGAUCCUACCAUCCUAAAUGCUCCAUGAGACCUUUCAAGUUUUAACAACAGGGAUCUGGCAGAAGCUGAGAAGGACUGUAAGACUUGAACCCAUAACAAGGAACAGACUCAGAUGAUUGCAGCUGCUACCUCUAUCAACCAAAAAAGGAACUCCCAGGAGACCAGCUUGUUUUAAAUGUGGUAAGAAAAUCCAUUGGUCCAAAGACUGCCUGCAGAAGUGGAAGCCACCUGGAAAUGGGACUGCCCAUAAGGUCAAGCCAUGAACCAACCAACCUCCAGGCUUCACAGGAUGGGGUCCAGAGCUCAGUUCAGCUCCCUCCCCCCUCCAUCACUAUGGCCAACCAGUGUUGGAAUAGAUAUGGCAGGCUCCAAGAACAACAUCAAGACACUCAGCUACUCCUGGGAACCUGUGGAGGACUCUUGUUCAAGAAAGAAAAAAGCACAAAACUCAAGUGACUUCCCUCCGAAAUGCUAUGACUACCGGCUUCUUCCUCAGGAUAGUUAUGUAAUACAUUUGGUUCCCUCUUAUUUGUAUCCCUACCAACUGCUGAAAUGACACAAAAGACCCAAAAUGCCAUCUUCCAGCUCUGCAAGCUGUGGCCCAUGGAGAGAACCUUACCAACUGCUGAGUAUGCUAUACCAGCCAUGAUGUAAACCAUAACCAAGCAUCCUUUUGGGGCUCUCUUAAGUCCUUCCUUCCCUCAUGCACCUUGGAGGUAUUCCCUCAUAUCUCCUUUACUUUCACCAUUGCUUCUUUUGCUGUUUUGCCCUUGCCUGUUAAAUUUGUGGCUUCUUGGCUUUCCCAUUCCAGUUUCCAAAUGGUAGUCACUGAGUGGCAGUCCACCUCCACCAGUUAGAUGCUGCUGCUGCUAACUUUCAUUCCCAGAAGCCAUGUGAUGACUCCCACUCCACCAAGUCAUACAGGAGCCCGUACCCAUCCCUGAUCCUUGCUCAUUCAGAUGGAAGUAGUUCUAGAAGACUGACCUUCUCCCAAAGCUGGUUCUGGGCACUGUUAUGUGGAGUGGGGAAUGAUGUGGGCUGCCAUGAAGAGAGAUGUGUCACUCCCUGCAAUCAAUAACUAGUAUGGGGCCACUUUUCAGAUAAGACAUAUGGGUUGCUUGAGAUUUACAAUGAUGAGAAAACUAUACAUCAGUCUUUAGACAUAAUCUAGGUCCUUGGUUAAGGGUCUCUGAACAGCAAGCACAGGUGAUUCAGUUUCCCAGCCACAAAGGCAUAGGUUCAAACAAUGCCUAAUUUUCACAAUCAAGUUGCCCUUCUUGGAACCUGGGUAGAACUAGCAAAAUUUGACCAAAAGUUGCCUCAGGGUGUUUAACAUAUUAUUAGCAUCUUAUUUACAUUGUGGUUUUUGACUCAACGGGGCAAGCAAGGUGCAUCAUAGGUAAAGCCAUAGUGGACUAAAGUGAACCCUGGGUAAAGUGAUGUCUGCUCCUUGGUUACAGAACACUACUACCACCCAAACAAUUGACUUCUUCCUUAACAACCAAUUAAGAUAAAAAGCAUUGUUGACAACUCCUGGGGCAUUAUCUCACUGUACAAACUAGCUAAUUAUCUAUGGGUACUCUAUAGCCAACCCAUCCCAACUAUUGCUUUCCUCACCUAAUAAAGUUUGCUCGACAUGAA